GAGCCACUGUGUGGAUGCUGCAGCUG
RNAcentral lists this non-coding RNA (26 nucleotides) under Homo sapiens (human). Lineage: Eukaryota; Metazoa; Chordata; Mammalia; Primates; Hominidae. The record is from RNAcentral.